This 162-nucleotide ribosomal RNA is filed under the name Polysphaeria parvifolia. Its description in RNAcentral is "5.8S ribosomal RNA". It matches the Rfam family "5.8S ribosomal RNA". From Rfam's summary of the family: 5.8S ribosomal RNA (5.8S rRNA) is a component of the large subunit of the eukaryotic ribosome. It is transcribed by RNA polymerase I as part of the 45S precursor that also contains 18S and 28S rRNA. Functionally, it is thought that 5.8S rRNA may be involved in ribosome translocation. The record is from RNAcentral. RNAcentral also lists the same sequence under 1 other name. Lineage: Eukaryota; Viridiplantae; Streptophyta; Magnoliopsida; Gentianales; Rubiaceae.
AACGACUCUCGGCAACGGAUAUCUCGGCUCUCGCAUCGAUGAAGAACGUAGCGAAAUGCGAUACUUGGUGUGAAUUGCAGAAUCCCGCGAACCAUCGAGUCUUUGAACGCAAGUUGCGCCCGAAGCCACCAGGCUGAGGGCACGUCUGCCUGGGCGUCACGC